UUCUCUUUAUCUCCAUCAGAAGAGAAAAUCCAGAGGGAACCUAAGGUGCUCUACAGAAGGAAGAUCAGAGACCAAUUCAGAAGGAAAGAUAAAGUUUCCCCUUCUCUUCUUCUCCUUCGGUGCGCUGCUCUAGAACCAUAUGGCAACUUCCUUUCUCUCACGAGUGGCAGCAUAGCGGCAAUGGUGUGGUACAACAACAGAGGCGCGACCCAUGGGGAUUUCAAUGGUGGUUCGUACGGUGGAUCUCGCGACAGGUUUCUGGAGAUUGGCAAAACUUCGCCAUGGUUUGGCCGUUGGGUCUCUGAUUCUUGGUGUUUGUUUUUGGCCCUGGUUUUCUGCAAGUGGAGGGUCGUGUCACAAUGGUUCUGUGUUUCGCCUUCUCUCCAUUGCGGCAGCGGUUCAAACGCCUCACUCUUAGCCAUAUCUGGUGGUUCGCACUCGCGACAGUAAGGUCAUGGUGGCACUAUGUCAUGGUGGUAGUGUGUGUUCUUUGUUAGUGGCUGGUUUAGAUCAAGAGGCGAGAAUCGUUCUCUAUAGCGGCGUUCUCUCCUUCUCUAGGGUGGUGGUUGGCAGCGGAAGAUCUGUUUACGUCUACGGAUUGCACUUCAUGUCUGCAAGGGACAAGUCGUGAUGGGCUCGCGACAGUUUGCACAGUGGCUAGCGAGGUGGCUCGCAGCGACAGUGGUAGUUCUGUAACAACAGAUCUAGUUGCGUCUUCGACGGGGCUCUCUCGUUCAUGGAGUGUGUUGCCAAUGGUAACUCGAGCCUUGCGGGUAGUGACCCAGGCCCAAUCUAGGAAGGUCAAUAAGGCACAAUCUUAGAAGGUCCAAUAAGGCAGAUCCAUUUUGGGGAUUUUUUAUUUAAUGGACAUGGGUUUGGAUCUAA
This is a long non-coding RNA of Vigna angularis (adzuki bean), 885 nucleotides long. RefSeq lists it as uncharacterized. The record is from RefSeq and is a predicted model, not a curated record. The transcript has 2 exons. Lineage: Eukaryota; Viridiplantae; Streptophyta; Magnoliopsida; Fabales; Fabaceae.